UACGGAGGGUGCAAGCGUUAUCCGGAUUUACUGGGUUUAAAGGGUGUGUAGGCGGGUCUUUAAGUCAGCGGUGAAAUCUCCGAGCUUAACUUGGAAACUGCCAUUGAUACUAUUGAUCUUGAAUUCUGUUGAGGUGGGCGGAAUAUGUCAUGUAGCGGUGAAAUGCAUAGAUAUGACAUAGAACACCAAUUGCGAAGGCAGCUCACUAAGCAGAUAUUGACGCUGAGGCACGAAAGCGUGGGGAUCAAACAGG
RNAcentral lists this ribosomal RNA (253 nucleotides) under uncultured bacterium. RNAcentral's name for it is "partial 16S ribosomal RNA". It matches the Rfam family "Bacterial small subunit ribosomal RNA", at positions 524 to 776 of the family's 1533-position model. The record is from RNAcentral.